RNAcentral lists this non-coding RNA (254 nucleotides) under Alkaliphilus metalliredigens. RNAcentral describes it as "T-box sequence". It matches the Rfam family "T-box leader". From Rfam's summary of the family: Uncharged tRNA acts as the effector for transcription antitermination of genes in the T-box leader family. T-boxes are found upstream of many aminoacyl-tRNA synthetase genes and some amino acid biosynthetic genes usually in Gram-positive bacteria. Lineage: Bacteria; Bacillati; Bacillota; Clostridia; Peptostreptococcales; Natronincolaceae. The record is from RNAcentral.
AUAAAUGCAUUGAAGGAGAAGGAUAUUUUAACUACAGUUUUAGAGAGUCGGUGGUGGGUGUAAACCGAUACUGUAAUAAAAUAUAGAUCACUCCCAAGCAGUAUCUUCGAAAUUUUCAAAGUAGUUGAUACCGAUUAGCCUCGAUAACGGCUUAGGUUUGUUAGAACCGAAAAAGUGGUUUCUUUCUAUUUUAUUAUAUUUUAAAAUAGGAGAGACAAUUAAGGUGGUACCGCGAGUGAUAACUCGCCCUUAGA